AACGAACGCUGGCGGCAUGCCUAACACAUGCAAGUCGAACGAGACCUUCGGGUCUAGUGGCGCACGGGUGCGUAACGCAUGGGAACCUGCCCUUAGGUUCGGAAUAACUCCCCGAAAGGGGUGCUAAUACCGGAUAAUGUCUUCGGACUAAAGAUUUAUCGCCUUUGGAUGGGCCCGCGUUGGAUUAGCUAGUUGGUAGGGUAAAAGCCUACCAAGGCGACGAUCCAUAGCUGGUCUGAGAGGAUGAUCAGCCACACUGGGACUGAGACACGGCCCAGACUCCUACGGGAGGCAGCAGUGGGGAAUAUUGGACAAUGGGCGAAAGCCUGAUCCAGCAAUGCCGCGUGAGUGAUGAAGGCCUUAGGGUUGUAAAGCUCUUUUACCCGGGAUGAUAAUGACAGUACCGGGAGAAUAAGCUCCGGCUAACUCCGUG
This 433-nucleotide ribosomal RNA is filed under the name uncultured bacterium. RNAcentral's name for it is "partial 16S ribosomal RNA". It matches the Rfam family "Bacterial small subunit ribosomal RNA", at positions 29 to 507 of the family's 1533-position model. The record is from RNAcentral.